This 824-nucleotide ribosomal RNA is filed under the name uncultured Bacillota bacterium. RNAcentral's name for it is "bacterial SSU rRNA". It matches the Rfam family "Bacterial small subunit ribosomal RNA", at positions 58 to 914 of the family's 1533-position model. The record is from RNAcentral. Lineage: Bacteria; Bacillati; Bacillota.
CAAGUCGAACGAGAAAGGGGAGCAAUCCCUGAGUACAGUGGCGCACGGGUGAGUAACACGUGGAUGAUCUAUCUCUUAGUGGGGAAUAACCCUGGGAAACCGGGGAUAAUACCGCAUAAGCUCGAGAGAGGAAAGCAGCAAUGCGCUGAGAGAGGAGUCCGCGGCCGAUUAGCUAGUUGGGAGGGUAAAAGCCUACCAAGGCAGAGAUCGGUAGCCGGCCUGAGAGGGCACACGGCCACACUGGCACUGAAACACGGGCCAGACUCCUACGGGAGGCAGCAGUGGGGAAUCUUGCACAAUGGGGGAAACCCUGAUGCAGCGACGCCGCGUGAGCGAUGAAGCCCUUCGGGGUGUAAAGCUCUUUCGGCAGGGAAGAUGAUGACGGUACCUGCAGAAGCAGCUGCGGCUAACUACGUGCCAGCAGCCGCGGUAAUACGUAGGCAGCGAGCGUUGUUCGGAGUUACUGGGCGUAAAGGGUGUGUAGGCGGUUGUUUAAGUUUGGUGUGAAAUCUCCCGGCUCAACUGGGAGGGUGCGCCGAAUACUGAAUGACUUGGAGUGCGGGAGAGGAGAGUGGAAUUCCUGGUGUAGCGGUGAAAUGCGUAGAUAUCAGGAGGAACACCGGUGGUGUAGACGGCUCUCUGGACCGUAACUGACGCUGAGACUCGAAAGCGUGGGUAGCAAACAGGAUUAGAUACCCUGGUAGUCCACGCCCUAAACGAUGCAUAUUUGGUGUGGGCAGUUCAUUCUGUCCGUGCCGGAGCUAACGCGUUAAAUAUGCCGCCUGGGGAGUACAGUCGCAAGGCUGAAACUCAAAGGAAUUGAC